This 85-nucleotide microRNA precursor is filed under the name Bombyx mori (domestic silkworm). RNAcentral describes it as "mir-2807 microRNA precursor family". It matches the Rfam family "mir-2807 microRNA precursor family". Lineage: Eukaryota; Metazoa; Arthropoda; Insecta; Lepidoptera; Bombycidae. The record is from Rfam by way of RNAcentral.
UUAACUCAAAUUUGUACGGAGCUGGAACGUUUGCUUACGUUUGCCGCUAGAUGAGCUAUUCCAACUGUAUAAAACAUUUAAGUUA